UUCCCCUGGCAAUGGACAAAGAGACACCUUAUUGGUGGUGUUGUUCUUAGAUCAAUCAAGGCCAGAACAGUUAAAAGUCCUUUGUUCAUCCUAGUUUUAUAUCUUACUUGGUGACCAAAGCUGUUUUUUGCCCAAGACUCAUAA
This is a small nucleolar RNA of Arvicanthis niloticus (Nile rat), 144 nucleotides long. RefSeq annotates it as small nucleolar RNA SNORA48. Lineage: Eukaryota; Metazoa; Chordata; Mammalia; Rodentia; Muridae. The record is from RefSeq and is a predicted model, not a curated record.